GACGGAGGGUCCUAGCGUUGUUCGGAAUGACUGGGCGUAAAGGGUACGUAGGCGGUUUGGUCAGUUAGAUGUGAAAGCCCAGGGCUUAACCUUGGAAUUGCAUUUAAUACUGCCAGACUUGAGAUCGGAAGAGGAAAGCGGAAUUCCUAGUGUAGAGGUGAAAUUCGUAGAUAUUAGGAGGAACAUCAGAGGCGAAGGCGGCUUUCUGGUCCGAUACUGACGCUGAGGUACGAAAGCGUGGGGAGCAAACAGG
This 253-nucleotide unclassified non-coding RNA is filed under the name uncultured Rickettsiales bacterium. Its description in RNAcentral is "contains 16S-23S intergenic spacer region". It matches the Rfam family "Bacterial small subunit ribosomal RNA", at positions 524 to 776 of the family's 1533-position model. Lineage: Bacteria; Pseudomonadati; Pseudomonadota; Alphaproteobacteria; Rickettsiales. The record is from RNAcentral.